RNAcentral lists this ribosomal RNA (514 nucleotides) under uncultured bacterium. Its description in RNAcentral is "bacterial SSU rRNA". It matches the Rfam family "Bacterial small subunit ribosomal RNA", at positions 24 to 518 of the family's 1533-position model. The record is from RNAcentral.
UCAGAACGAACGCUGGCGGCGUGCUUAACACAUGCAAGUCGAACGCGAAAGGGACUUCGGUCCUGAGUAAAGUGGCGCACGGGUGAGUAACGCGUAGAUAACCUGUCUUCAUGUCUGGAAUAAUACGCCGAAAGGGGUACUAAUACCGGAUAUUCUUGCUUUUCAUAAGUUAUGCAAGCAAAGGUGGCCUCUGCAUAUGCUACUGCAUGAAGAGGGGUCUGCGUACCAUUAGCUAGUAGGUGGGGUAAUGGCCUACCUAGGCGACGAUGGUUAGCGGGUCUGAGAGGAUGAUCCGCCACAUUGGCACUGGAACACGGGCCAGACUCCUACGGGAGGCAGCAGUGAGGAAUAUUGCGCAAUGGGGGAAACCCUGACGCAGCGACGCCGCGUGAGUGAGGAAGGCCUUCGGGUCGUAAAGCUCUGUCAAGAGGAAAGAAGUGUACAAUGGCUAAUACCUGUUGUAUUUGACGGUACCUCUAAGGGAAGCACCGGCUAACUCCGUGCCAGCCGCCGC